Molecule: ribosomal RNA, 468 nt
Filed under: uncultured bacterium
Lineage: Bacteria
Description: partial 16S ribosomal RNA
Rfam family: Bacterial small subunit ribosomal RNA
Source: RNAcentral
GACGAACGCUGGCGGCGUGCUUAACACAUGCAAGUCGAACGGAAAGGCCCUGCGUUUGUGGGGUGCUCGAGUGGCGAACGGGUGAGUAACACGUGAGUAACCUGCCCUUGACUUUGGGAUAACUUCAGGAAACUGGGGCUAAUACCGGAUAGGAGCUCCUGCUGCGUGGUGGGGGGUGGAAAGUUUCGGCGGUUGGGGAUGGACUCGCGGCUUAUCAGCUUGUUGGUGGGGUAGUGGCUUACCAAGGCUUUGACGGAUAGCCGGCCUGAGAGGGUGACCGGCCUCAUUGGGCCUGCGAUACGGCCCAGACUCCUACGGGAGGCAGCAGUGGGGAAUAUUGCACAAUGGGCGGACGCCUGAUGAAGAAACGCCGCGUGCGGGAUGACGGCCUUCGGGUUGUAAACCGCUUUCGCCUGUGACGAAGCGUGAGUGACGGUAAUGGGUAAAGAAGCACCGGCUAACUACGUG